CGCGAAGAACCUUACCAGGUCUUGACAUCCUUUGGCCACUCUAGAGAUAGAGCUUCCCCUUCGGGGGCAAAGUGACAGGUGGUGCAUGGUUGUCGUCAGCUCGUGUCGUGAGAUGUUGGGUUAAGUCCCGCAACGAGCGCAACCCUUAUUGUUAGUUGCCAUCAUUCAGUUGGGCACUCUAGCAAGACUGCCGGUGACAAACCGGAGGAAGGUGGGGAUGACGUCAAAUCAUCAUGCCCCUUAUGACCUGGGCUACACACGUGCUACAAUGGGAAGUACAACGAGUCGCGAAGUCGCGAGGCUAAGCUAAUCUCUUAAAGCUUCUCUCAGUUCGGAUUGCAGGCUGCAACUCGCCUGCAUGAAGCCGGAAUCGCUAGUAAUCGUGGAUCAGCACGCCACGGUGAAUACGUUCCCGGGUCUUGUACACACC
RNAcentral lists this ribosomal RNA (430 nucleotides) under uncultured bacterium. Its description in RNAcentral is "bacterial SSU rRNA". It matches the Rfam family "Bacterial small subunit ribosomal RNA", at positions 960 to 1391 of the family's 1533-position model. The record is from RNAcentral.